GAAGGUGGCCUGUGAGGGUUGCUGGAGGUAUCAGAAGUGCGAAUGCUGACAUAAGUAACGAUAAAGCGGGUGAAAAGCCCGCUCGCCGGAAGACCAAGGGUUCCUGUCCAACGUUAAUCGGGGCAGGGUGAGUCGACCCCUAAGGCGAGGCCGAAAGGCGUAGUCGAUGGGAAACGGGUUAAUAUUCCCGUACUUGGUGUUACUGCGAAGGGGGGACGGAGAAGGCUAUGUUGGCCGGGCGACGGUUGUCCCGGUUUAACCGCGC
RNAcentral lists this ribosomal RNA (265 nucleotides) under Salmonella enterica subsp. enterica serovar Mbandaka. RNAcentral describes it as "partial 23S ribosomal RNA". It matches the Rfam family "Bacterial large subunit ribosomal RNA", at positions 1252 to 1521 of the family's 2925-position model. Lineage: Bacteria; Pseudomonadati; Pseudomonadota; Gammaproteobacteria; Enterobacterales; Enterobacteriaceae. The record is from RNAcentral.